RNAcentral lists this transfer RNA (69 nucleotides) under Ictidomys tridecemlineatus (thirteen-lined ground squirrel). RNAcentral's name for it is "Spermophilus tridecemlineatus (thirteen-lined ground squirrel) tRNA". It matches the Rfam family "tRNA". Rfam says of the family: Transfer RNA (tRNA) molecules are approximately 80 nucleotides in length. The record is from Rfam by way of RNAcentral. RNAcentral also lists the same sequence under 1 other name. Lineage: Eukaryota; Metazoa; Chordata; Mammalia; Rodentia; Sciuridae.
GGAGUUGUAGCUCAGCAGUAGAGCGCUUGCCUAGCAUGUGUGAGGCACUGGGUUCAAUUCUCAGCACCA